CGCGCCUCAGGUCAGUAUUGGUCCAGGAAGUCGCCUUCGCCACCGGUGUUCCUCCUGAUAUCUACGAAUUUCACCUCUACACCAGGAAUUCCACUUCCCUCUCCCAUACUCAAGUCUUCCAGUUUCAAAUGCACUUCCGGGGUUAAGCCCCGGGCUUUCACAUCUGACUUGAAAGACCGCCUACGCGCUCUUUACGCCCAAUAAUUCCGAAUAACGCUUGCACCCCCCGUAUUACCGCGGCUGCUGGCACGGAGUUAGCCGGUGCUUCCUUCAAUGGUACCGUCAAUAUUAAAUGGUAUUGGCAUUUAAUAAUUUCUUCCCACUUGACAGAGCUUUACGACCCGAAAGCCUUCAUCACUCACGCGGCGUUGCUGCGUCAGGGUUUCCCCCAUUGCGCAAAAUUCCCCA
RNAcentral lists this ribosomal RNA (408 nucleotides) under uncultured delta proteobacterium. Its description in RNAcentral is "partial 16S ribosomal RNA". Lineage: Bacteria; Deltaproteobacteria. The record is from RNAcentral.